This 74-nucleotide transfer RNA is filed under the name Spirochaetes bacterium GWB1_36_13. Its description in RNAcentral is "tRNA-Arg". It matches the Rfam family "tRNA". Rfam says of the family: Transfer RNA (tRNA) molecules are approximately 80 nucleotides in length. Their secondary structure includes four short double-helical elements and three loops (D, anti-codon, and T loops). Lineage: Bacteria; Pseudomonadati; Spirochaetota. The record is from RNAcentral.
GCGCUUAUAGCUCAGCUGGAUAGAGCACUGGGUUGCGGUCUCAGCGGUCGGGGGUUCGAAUCCCUCUAAGCGCG